GUAACGAACGCAAACACAAAUAGUCCUUUUACUCUCUUGCAACUCCCGUACACUUGGGACAAGACUUACGCACUUUGACACCAAGACGUCGUCUCCUUACAGGUAUUCUCAGAACUCACUAGGGAUUUUUUUUUCUUUCUUUCUUUCUCCUGCCACAGUUUCCCCCUGUCGGCCUGUUUUUCCUGGAAGCGACUGUGAGUACCAACCUUCUCUCCACCCACCGCCUGUGCUCAGCCCCACCGAGGGGCUCCGCUGUCAGGGUAGCAAGCAACCUUUGCUUGCUCAAUAAAUCUCGGUGGUCCCUCUCUGGUGGACCUGGGCUUCAGGUCAGGCCUCAUUUCAGGAAAUUGCUGUUAUGCUUGAACUUGAACGCACGACGGAAUACAGACUGCGGGUCCCGACAGAGGACGGCUUCUCCCUCUCCCAGCAUCAAACCGUGGUUUUCUUGGAACUCGAGUUAUACUAAGAAAAAGGCCCGGACGCCAUCAGAGAAAAACAGGCCACUUCCUCCGAGACACACGCGAAUGAGCAAGUCACCCUGUCCCCCAGGGGGACCCUGUCCCAGCAAAACAGCCCGGGGAGUUUUCACCUUUGCCACCGUUUGGUGGCCUGUUGCGCAGUGGGUAAUGAAAGGGAAACUUCCACAGAACCAAUGAAAGUAUUUUCACUGGAAAGAGGAAAGUUGUCUGAAUGUUGCGUUUACUUUUUUUCCUUCAUGAAAAGAAACACGCACGCGCACACACACGCAAAAAUAACCAGAAACUAAAUCAAAGCAAAACCCACGGAGAGAACUUCUGGUUGGUGUCCAGUCCCAGGGCAAAACCUUAAGCAUCCCAAUCGGUCCUUCAGGACAUGAAGGAAAGUAAGGGAAAAAAAAAAAUCCAUGAAAACAGACUCUAAUAAAGCAAUAUGUGUAACUGGGUCUCUACCCGUCGGGGUUGCAGCCAGGGUUGGUGGCACGUGUUUGAUAUAUGUGGCUUUCUCAAAAACGAGGAAAUCCUGUUCUACUAAACAAUUUCCAGUUGCCGUGGUUCUCAGAAAUCAAAUAGCAAUGACCAAAUAAAUCCUGCAAUAUUUUAGUAUGACUCUAAGUUAAAGUAGAAAAAGAAAAAAAGAAAGCUUUAAAGCACAAUCAGAAUCUUUAGCCUCAUGUAUCACUUGAUUCUCAGAUGGCAAAACGUGGCCAUCAUUUAUUUAAAAGGUCCGCCUCAACGUUCUUUGGCUCACAAACAUUUAUUUGAAGUCAUGCCGGUUCAUUUCUGUCAAAAUAUG
Molecule: long non-coding RNA, 1272 nt
Organism: Microcebus murinus (gray mouse lemur)
Lineage: Eukaryota; Metazoa; Chordata; Mammalia; Primates; Cheirogaleidae
Source: Ensembl